UUGCACAGUGAACACCAAGAGUGCCUUAGUUCCUUGGUUUCAACUCUGUGCUAGAGCAAUGUCUGUUCUUUUCCUCUACACUGAAAGCUUAUUUAUCCUUUUUAAAGUAUUCAGAAAGUCAGCACAUCA
Small nucleolar RNA from Balaenoptera musculus (blue whale), 129 nucleotides. NCBI's taxonomy places the organism in Eukaryota, Metazoa, Chordata, Mammalia, Artiodactyla, Balaenopteridae. The record is from Ensembl.